Molecule: non-coding RNA, 73 nt
Organism: Balaenoptera ricei (Rice's whale)
Lineage: Eukaryota; Metazoa; Chordata; Mammalia; Artiodactyla; Balaenopteridae
Source: the annotation of a RefSeq genome assembly
UCCCUGGUGGUCCAGUGGGUAAGACUGUGUACUCCUAAUGCAGGGGGCCUGGGUUCAAUCCCCGCUCAGGGAA